Molecule: ribosomal RNA, 468 nt
Filed under: uncultured bacterium
Lineage: Bacteria
Description: partial 16S ribosomal RNA
Rfam family: Bacterial small subunit ribosomal RNA
Source: RNAcentral
GACGAACGCUGGCGGCGUGCUUAACACAUGCAAGUCGAACGGAAAGGCCCUGCUUUUGUGGGGUGCUCGAGGGGCGAACGGGGGGGUAAAACGUGAUUAACCUCCCUUUGGCUUGGGGAAAACUUAAGGAAACGGGGGCAAAUACCGGAAAGGGGCCCCUGCGCCAUGGGGGGGGUGGGAAGGUUUCGGCGGUUGGGGAUGGACUCGCGGCUUAUCAGCUGGUUGGUGGGGUAGUGGCUUACCAAGGCUUUGACGGGUAGCCGGCCUGAGAGGGUGACCGGCCACAUUGGGACUGAGAUACGGCCCAGACUCCUACGGGAGGCAGCAGUGGGGAAUAUUGCACAAUGGGCGGAAGCCUGAUGCAGCAACGCCGCGUGCGGGAUGACGGCCUUCGGGUUGUAAACCGCUUUCGCCUGUGACGAAGCGUGAGUGACGGUAAUGGGUAAAGAAGCACCGGCUAACUACGUG